Molecule: ribosomal RNA, 497 nt
Filed under: uncultured bacterium
Lineage: Bacteria
Description: partial 16S ribosomal RNA
Rfam family: Bacterial small subunit ribosomal RNA
Source: RNAcentral
GAUGAACGCUGGCGGCGUGCCUAAUACAUGCAAGUCGAGCGAACAGACCAGGAUCUUGCUCCUCUGACGUUAUCGGCGGACGGGUGAGUAACACGUGGACAACCUACCUAUAAGACUGUGAUACCUUCGGGAAACCGGAGCUACUGCCGGAUAAUAUAUUGAACAACAUUGUUCAAUAGUUAAAGUCGGUUUUGCUGUCACUUAUAGAUGGACCCGCGCCGCAUUAGUUAGUUGGUAAGGUAACGGCUUACCAACGCAACGAGGCGUAGCCGACCUGAGAGGGUGAUCGGCCACACUGGAAGUGAGACACGGUCCAGACUCUGACGGGAGGAAGCAGUAGGGAAUCUUCCGCAAUGGGCGAGAGCCUGACGGAGCAACGCCGCGGGAGUGAUGAAGGUCUCCGGCUCGUAAAACUCUGUAAGUAGGGAAGAACAAAUGUGUAAGCAACUAUGAACGUCUUGACGGUACCUAAUGAGAAAGCCACGGCUAACUACGUG